AGCGAACGCUGGCGGCAGGCUUAACACAUGCAAGUCGAACGGGCACUUCGGUGUCAGUGGCAGACGGGUGAGUAACACGUGGGAACGUACCUUUUGGUUCGGAACAACUGAGGGAAACUUCAGCUAAUACCGGAUAAGCCCUUACGGGGAAAGAUUUAUCGCCGAAAGAUCGGCCCGCGUCUGAUUAGCUAGUUGGUAGGGUAAUGGCCUACCAAGGCGACGAUCAGUAGCUGGUCUGAGAGGAUGAUCAGCCACAUUGGGACUGAGACACGGCCCAAACGCCGACGGGAGGCAGCAGUGGGGAAUGUUGGACAAUGGGGGCAACCCUGAUUCAGCCAUGCCGCGUGAGUGAUGAAGGCCCUAGGGUUGUAAACUGCUUUUGUACGGAACGAAACGGUCUGGGUUAAUACCCUGGGCUAAUGACGGUACCGUAAGAAUAAGCCCCGGC
This 448-nucleotide ribosomal RNA is filed under the name uncultured bacterium. RNAcentral describes it as "partial 16S ribosomal RNA". It matches the Rfam family "Bacterial small subunit ribosomal RNA", at positions 29 to 497 of the family's 1533-position model. The record is from RNAcentral.